This 806-nucleotide long non-coding RNA is filed under the name Felis catus (domestic cat). RNAcentral describes it as "lncRNA (ENSFCAG00000052095.1)". The record is from RNAcentral. Lineage: Eukaryota; Metazoa; Chordata; Mammalia; Carnivora; Felidae.
UCUGCUCUAAGCUGUUCUCCUUUUCACCAGGUACCUCUGCGGCAGAUGGGGUAACAAUGGCUUUUGAUGUGAGAAAGAGUCUGUUAUUCCAUUUCAAAGGUGCAGGUAAACAGAUCUUGUACAGGGGACACAGCAGCAAACGCAUAGCGUCUGAACUCGCCCCAGAAAUGGGCAAAUGAUACUCCCCUCGACAGAGGAAAACAACCCAGGCACACAGGUGGCGUGGCACACUCAGAAUCUUAACAGCAACUUGGAAAAUCACGACACCUGAGAAACCGCCUCAGGAGACACACCCGUUGGCUACAGGUCCAUUGAAGGACAAGCUUUCAGAGAGACCACAAAAGUACGAAAAGCAGGAAAACCCAGGAAGAAACGGAGGGAGGUUAUUACAACCAAGACCUUUUCACCUCAAGGUAAGGAGACAAAAAGACACUGUUUAAAUCUUAGCAAACACUUAAAGUACUUUAUUUCCUUGGUAGUUUUUGCCAACUUAACUCCCCUACAGAGAUUGCUUCUACGUCCUCUCAAGCCCUCCAAGAGUAGGCUGAAAAAUCUUGCAUAGUGUUUUCUUAAAGGAAACCAGGGUAUUUGAUCCAACAGGCCUGAAACCGCCCCCCCCCACCUCCUUUGCCCACUCGCCAUCACUACCAACAAAGAUGUCAAUUCGGUACCUGAAAUUUUACGCUUUUAAAUCCAAAGAGUAAGUCUGAGUAAAAAUAAUUCAAGAUAUUCGUAUUGAGAUUUUAGGCAGAUGCUGAGACAUUUGGGUCAAAAUAAACCCAAAGCAGAAAAAAAAAAAAAAUCCA